This 429-nucleotide ribosomal RNA is filed under the name bacterium. RNAcentral's name for it is "partial 16S ribosomal RNA". It matches the Rfam family "Bacterial small subunit ribosomal RNA", at positions 355 to 776 of the family's 1533-position model. The record is from RNAcentral.
UGGGGAAUCUUCCGCAAUGGACGAAAGUCUGACGGAGCAACGCCGCGUGAGUGAUGACGGCCUUCGGGUUGUAAAGCUCUGUUAAUCGGGACGAAUGGUUCUUGUGCGAAUAGUGCAAGGAUUUGACGGUACCGGAAUAGAAAGCCACGGCUAACUACGUGCCAGCAGCCGCGGUAAUACGUAGGUGGCAAGCGUUGUCCGGAAUUAUUGGGCGUAAAGCGCGCGCAGGCGGAUUGGUCAGUCUGUCUUAAAAGUUCGGGGCUUAACCCCGUGAUGGGAUGGAAACUGCCAAUCUAGAGUAUCGGAGAGGAAAGUGGAAUUCCUAGUGUAGCGGUGAAAUGCGUAGAUAUUAGGAAGAACACCAAUGGCGAAGGCGACUUUCUGGACGAAAACUGACGCUGAGGCGCGAAAGCCAGGGGAGCGAACGGG